AUUUAGAGGUUUAUUUCGAACAACUGGCAAUUCCAGGAAUGAUGGAAUAAAGCAUACGAAGUAGAAGGACUGGAACCUCCAGAAAAAGUACUUUAAGUUACCUACAGGUGAUCCUAGUCAGGUAUGAAUUGAUAAGAAAUGCCUGCACCUUCCCUCCUUCCUAUCUUUCCCUUGCCUACAGAAAAUUAAAAGGCAAAACAAUGGACAUCUACAUAUUCUUCAUUCAGAUCAACCAGUGGCUAGCAUUUGCCACCUUUUGCAGUUUCUUUCUCUUUCCAUAAGUACUUUCUUCUCUGAAUCAUUUGAAAGCAAAUGAAAACAGUAGCCUAAAGUGUCAGUUUCAACCCGAAAAUAACAGCUCUGAUUUCUCAUGGCUCACACUCGUCUGAAAUGACUCGGGUAGAGGCUGAGGAAGGCUGUGUUGUUUGUCUACCUGGGACUACACCUACUGAAAGAAGUUCUCAAGUUCUGAUUGAGUUCUAAAAUUCUUUUGAAGAUUGGAAUUCUUCAUAUGUAAAAAGAGAAGAGAAAGACAUUCUUGAUUUUGGUGACUAGAGUUGUAGAUGCUGGAAGCUUUGCCACUAACAUUGAUGAACCAGAUGCAUGUCACCAGCCCAUCACGGGCACCAUGGGCCGGCACUGCCACGUUUUCCAAGGAACCUGCCAGAGCUCCUGCGGAAGCUGCUCCUCGGGCGAUGGAGUCCCUUUGCUGCUAGGCCCUUCUUCAGUCACCACAGGAUGCCUGCCAUUCAUGAACAGGAAGGAGAGGACGGGCUUUGAAUAAAAAACAGGAUCCAGGAAAUAUUUGUGAGGCCAUUUGGACUUCAGUGUGAAAUGGUGUUAAAAGAUGAAGUCAUUUAUUCAAGAAGUAAACCUCUGCCACCUGGACUGUGCUCAGACAUUUCAUUGAUUUUGUUUAAUAAACAUUUUCUGGCUUUGGGAGGUGUCUCUCUUGGUAGAGCACAGUGUCAAAGAUGGACAAGAUGGACACAUAGUCCAUUAUUUGGUAUUGUUUGUGUAUGGGAGCGGACCACAAAUUAAUGUUUGGAGAACAAUUUUGUCAUAACACACUGUUGAGGCUCAGUUGUACAGAACUGGAAAAGUCUUUCAGCUUGGCACAUGUCCUGAUUCAGCCUUUGUUUAACAUACAUUCCAAUCCGGAUUCUAUCUUCACUGGCUACAAAGACCACCUGAUACGUGCACCACGACACAGGAGCUGCUGGAGAGGGGGUAGUGUUAUCACCUCAAACCCACAGCCAUAUUUUUCAAAAGCCAGCUUAGAGAGAGGUGUACUGAUAGCUGCAUAGAGAACAUGCAGUCCAUCCAUUCUUCCCAGUGAUGUACAUUUCUCAAUCAGUAACCACGUGGUAUACCAGCCUUGAGUGUCACAUCUCCCAACCAUACCAAAUGGAUCACCUAACUGGAGGUGGGGGGGGCCCCUCAGAAAUGAGAUUUCGUAUUUACUGUAAAAUUGCCUUAUUUUUUCUUUUGAGGUGGAGUCUCACUCUGUUGCCUGGGCUGGAGUGCAAUGGUGUGAUCACUGCUCACUGCAACCUCCGCCUCCUGGGUUCAAGCAGUUCUCCUGCCUCAGCCUCCCAAGUAGCUGCAAUUACAGGCGCAUGCCACCACUCCCAGCAAAUUUUUAUAUUUUUAGUGGAGACAGGGUUUCACCAUGUUGGCCAGGCUGGUCUCAAACUCCUGACCUCAGGUGAUCUGCCCACCUUGGCCUCCCAAAGUUCUGGGAUUAAAGGUACGAGCCACCGCAACUGGCUGAGAAUCUUUUUAUUUGCUGAUUUGUCUCUUGUGUAUUUUCUUUGUUCAGAUGUCUC
This 1829-nucleotide long non-coding RNA is filed under the name Homo sapiens (human). RNAcentral describes it as "non-protein coding lnc-FAM193B-4:1". The record is from RNAcentral. Lineage: Eukaryota; Metazoa; Chordata; Mammalia; Primates; Hominidae.